CCAAUAGCGUAUAUUAAAGUUGUUGCAGUUAAAAAGCUCGUAGUUGAAUUUCGGGGUUAGUAGGUUGGUCAUGCCUCCGGUAUGUACUGGUCUCACUGAUUCCUCCUUCCUGAUGAGCCGUAAUGCCAUUAAUUUGGUGUUGCGAGGAAUCUGGACUGUUACUUUGAAAAAAUUAGAGUGUUUAAAGCAGGCUAACGCUUGAAUACAUUAGCAUGGAAUAAUGAAAUAGGACGUUCGAUCCUAUUUUGUUGGUUUCUAGGAUUGACGUAAUGAUUAAUAGGGAUAGUUGGGGGCAUUAGUAUUCAAUUGUCAGAGGUGAAAUUCUUGGAUUUAUUGAAGACUAACUACUGCGAAAGCAUUUGCCAAGGAUGUUUUCAUUAAUCAAGAACGAAAGUUAGGGGAUCGAAGACGAUCAGAUACCGUCGUAGUCUUAACCAUAAACUAUGCCGACUAGGGAUCGGAUGAUGUUAAUUUUUUAAUGACUCAUUCGGCGCCUUACG
RNAcentral lists this ribosomal RNA (500 nucleotides) under uncultured Glomeromycotina. RNAcentral's name for it is "partial small subunit ribosomal RNA". It matches the Rfam family "Eukaryotic small subunit ribosomal RNA", at positions 591 to 1092 of the family's 1831-position model. Lineage: Eukaryota; Fungi; Glomeromycota. The record is from RNAcentral.